AUGCAGGAGGUUGACCUAGAACUUAAAGAGUUUAUCGUGCCCACCCAGCAGGGGAAACUUCAAUUUAAUUGGGAAAGACCACACAAAAUAUGUCAGAAACUACAUCACGAAGCCUACAAACUUGAACAAAUGGAUGGACGACUCAUCCCUAGAACGUGGAACUCAAUUAAUGCGAAAUAUUACUAUAGUGAAUUGUUUUUCAGUUAUGAGUUUAAAGAAGAAAGAUUGUUCACCUGCUAA
Vicia faba (fava bean) is the source of this 240-nucleotide non-coding RNA. The record is from the annotation of a GenBank genome assembly. Lineage: Eukaryota; Viridiplantae; Streptophyta; Magnoliopsida; Fabales; Fabaceae.